RNAcentral lists this ribosomal RNA (1366 nucleotides) under uncultured Alphaproteobacteria bacterium. RNAcentral's name for it is "uncultured alpha proteobacterium 16S ribosomal RNA". It matches the Rfam family "Bacterial small subunit ribosomal RNA". The record is from RNAcentral. Lineage: Bacteria; Pseudomonadati; Pseudomonadota; Alphaproteobacteria.
CGCUGGCGGCAGGUCUACACAUGCCAGUCAGAGCGCUGUAGCAAUACAGAGCGGCGCACGGGUGAGUAACACGUGGGAACGUGCCCUUUGGUUCGGAAUAACUCAGGGAAACUUGAGCUAAUACCGGAUGAGCCCUAACGGGGAAAGAUUUAUCGCCGAAGGAGCGGCCCGCGUUGGAUUAGCUAGUUGGUGGGGUAAAAGCCUACCAAGGCAACGGAUCCAUAGCUUGGUUUGAGAGAACGACCAGCCACACUUGGGACUGAGACACGGCCCAGACUCCUACGGGAGGCAGCAGUGGGGAAUCUUGGACAAUGGGGGAAACCCUGAUCCAGCCAUGCCGCGUGAGUGAUGAAGGCCCUAGGGUUGUAAAACUCUUUCGGCGGGGACGAUAAUGACGGUACCCGCAGAAGAAGCUCCGGCUAACUUCGUGCCAGCAGCCGCGGUAAUACGAAGGGGGCUAGCGUUGUUCGGAAUUCUGGGCGUAAAGCGCGCGCAGGCGGUCCUUCAAGUCAGAGGUGAAAGCCCAGAGCUCACUCUGGAACGGCCUUUGAACUAGAGGACUAGGGUCGGGAGAGGUGAGUGGAAUUCCGAGUGUAGAGGUGAAAUUCGUAGAUAUUCGGAAAACACCAGUGGCGAAGGCGGCUACUGCCCGUUACCGACGUCAGGGGGCAGCGUGGGGACAAACAGGAUUAGAUCCCUGGUAGUCCACGCGUAACCGAUGGAUGCUAGCCGUUGUAAGCAUGCUUAUCAGUGGGCAGCUAACGCAUUAGCGUCCGCUUGGGAGUACGGCCGCAAGGUUAAACUCAAAGGAAUUGACGGGGCCGCACAAGCGGUGGAGCAUGUGGUUUAAUUCGACGCAACGCGCAGAACCUUACCAGGGUUUGACAUCCCGCGCUAAACUCAGAGAUGGGUGGUCCCCGCAAGGGGCGCGGAGACAGGUGCUGCAUGGCUGUCGUCAGCUCGUGUCGUGAGAUGUUGGGUUAAGUCCCGCAACGAGCGCAACCCUCUCCUUUAGUUGCCAUCAUUCAGUUGGGCACUCUAAAGGGACCGCCGGCGACAAGCCGGAGGAAGGUGGGGAUGACGUCAAGUCCUCAUGGCCCUUACACCCUGGGCUACACACGUGCUACAAUGGCGGUGACAGUGGGCAGCGACCACGCGAGUGGAUGCGAAUCCCAAAAAACCGUCCCAGUUCAGAUUGCACUCUGCAACUCGAGUGCAUGAAGGUGGAAUCGCUAGUAAUCGCAGAACAGCAGGCUGCGGUGAAUACGUUCCCGGGCCUUGUACACACCGCCCGUCACACCAUGGGAGUUGGUUCUACCUGAAGACGGUGCGCUAACCGCAAGGAGGCAGCCGGGCCACGUAGGGC